GACGAACGCUGGCGGCGUGCUUAACACAUGCAAGUCGAACGAUGAAGCCUUAGCUUGCUUUGGUGGAUUAGUGGCGAACGGGUGAGUAACACGUGAGCAACGUGCCCAUGACUCUGGAAUAACCGCUGGAAACCGUGGCUAAUACCGGAUAGGUGCCGAGGCCGCAUGGUCUUCGGUUGGAAAGUUUUUGCGGUUCUGGAUCGGCUCACGGCCUAUCAGCUUGUUGGUGGGGUAAUGGCCUACCAAGGCGACGACGGGUAGCCGGCCUGAGAGGGUGACCGGCCACACUGGGACUGAGACACGGCCCAGACUCCUACGGGAGGCAGCAGUGGGGAAUAUUGCACAAUGGGCGCAAGCCUGAUGCAGCAACGCCGCGUGGGGGAUGACGGCCUUCGGGUUGUAAACCUCUUUUAGUAGGGAAGAAGCGCAAGUGACGGUACCUGCAGAAAAAGCACCGGCUAACUACGUG
RNAcentral lists this ribosomal RNA (469 nucleotides) under uncultured bacterium. RNAcentral's name for it is "partial 16S ribosomal RNA". It matches the Rfam family "Bacterial small subunit ribosomal RNA", at positions 28 to 507 of the family's 1533-position model. The record is from RNAcentral.